RNAcentral lists this ribosomal RNA (508 nucleotides) under uncultured bacterium. RNAcentral's name for it is "partial 16S ribosomal RNA". It matches the Rfam family "Bacterial small subunit ribosomal RNA", at positions 30 to 523 of the family's 1533-position model. The record is from RNAcentral.
AUUGAACGCCGGCGGCAGGCCUAACACAUGCAAGUCGAGCGGCAGCGGGAAAGUAGCUUGCUACUUUUGCCGGCGAGCGGCGGACGGGUGAGUAAUGCCUGGGGAUCUGCCCAGUCGAGGGGGAUAACUACUGGAAACGGUAGCUAAUACCGCAUACGCCCUACGGGGGAAAGCAGGGGACCUUCGGGCCUUGCGCGAUUGGAUUAACCCGGGUGGGAUUAGCUAGUUGGUGAGGUAACGGCUCACCAAGGCGACGAUCCCUAGCUGGUCUGAGAGGAUGAUCAGCCACACUGGAACUGAGACACGGUCCAGACUCCUACGGGAGGCAGCAGUGGGGAAUAUUGCACAAUGGGGGAAACCCUGAUGCAGCCAUGCCGCGUGUGUGAAGAAGGCCUUCUGGUUGUAAAGCACUUUCAGCGAGGAGGAAAGGUCAGUAGCUAAUAUCUGCUGGCUGUGACGUUACUCGCAGAAGAAGCACCGGCUAACUCCGUGCCAGCCGCCGCCGUAA